RNAcentral lists this ribosomal RNA (388 nucleotides) under Streptococcus sp. oral taxon C65. RNAcentral describes it as "bacterial SSU rRNA". It matches the Rfam family "Bacterial small subunit ribosomal RNA", at positions 125 to 501 of the family's 1533-position model. Lineage: Bacteria; Bacillati; Bacillota; Bacilli; Lactobacillales; Streptococcaceae. The record is from RNAcentral.
CCUGCCUUGUAGCGGGGGAUAACUAUUGGAAACGAUAGCUAAUACCGCAUAACAAUGAAUGACUCAUGUCAUUUAUUUGAAAGGGGCAAUUGCUCCACUACAAGAUGGACCUGCGUUGUAUUAGCUAGUAGGUGAGGUAACGGCUCACCUAGGCGACGAUACAUAGCCGACCUGAGAGGGUGAUCGGCCACACUGGGACUGAGACACGGCCCAGACUCCUACGGGAGGCAGCAGUAGGGAAUCUUCGGCAAUGGGGGCAACCCUGACCGAGCAACGCCGCGUGAGUGAAGAAGGUUUUCGGAUCGUAAAGCUCUGUUGUAAGUCAAGAACGAGUGUGAGAGUGGAAAAUUCACGCUGUGACGGUAGCUUACCAGAAAGGACGGCUAAU